GAUGAAGAACGCAGCGAAAUGCGAUAAGUAAUGUGAAUUGCAGAAUUCAGUGAAUCAUCGAGUCUUUGAACGCACAUUGCGCCCCCUGGUAUUCCGGGGGGCGUGCCUGUCCGAGCGUCAUUGCUGCCCUCAAGCACGGCUUGUGUGUUGGGCCUCCGUCCUCCUCCCGGGGGACGGGCCCGAAAGGCAGCGGCGGCACCGCGUCCGGUCCUCGAGCGUAUGGGGCUUCGUCACCCGCUCUUGUAGGCCCGGCCGGCGCUUGCCGACACAUCAAUCUUUUUUCCAGGUUGACCUCGGAUCAGGUAGGGAUACCCGCUGAACUUAAGCAUAUCAAUAAGCGGAGGA
Molecule: unclassified non-coding RNA, 345 nt
Filed under: soil metagenome
Description: partial contains 5.8S ribosomal RNA, internal transcribed spacer 2, and large subunit ribosomal RNA
Rfam family: 5.8S ribosomal RNA (bases 1-120)
Source: RNAcentral